UGGGGAAUAUUGCACAAUGGGCGCAAGCCUGAUGCAGCCAUGCCGCGUGUAUGAAGAAGGCCUUCGGGUUGUAAAGUACUUUCAGCGGGGAGGAAGGGAGUAAAGUUAAUACCUUUGCUCAUUGACGUUACCCGCAGAAGAAGCACCGGCUAACUCCGUGCCAGCAGCCGCGGUAAUACGGAGGGUGCAAGCGUUAAUCGGAAUUACUGGGCGUAAAGCGCACGCAGGCGGUUUGUUAAGUCAGAUGUGAAAUCCCCGGGCUCAACCUGGGAACUGCAUCUAAUACUGGCAAGCUUGAGUCUCGUAGAGGGGGGUAGAAUUCCAGGUGUAGCGGUGAAAUGCGUAGAGAUCUGGAGGAAUACCGGUGGCGAAGGCGGCCCCCUGGACAAAGACUGACGCUCAGGUGCGAAAGCGUGGGGGGCAAACAGG
This 429-nucleotide ribosomal RNA is filed under the name Chloroflexota bacterium. Its description in RNAcentral is "Chloroflexi bacterium partial 16S ribosomal RNA". It matches the Rfam family "Bacterial small subunit ribosomal RNA", at positions 355 to 776 of the family's 1533-position model. The record is from RNAcentral. Lineage: Bacteria; Bacillati; Chloroflexota.